GUAUAAAAUAAAUGACACUGAGUAUUAUUUUUGGGGAAAAGAAUGACACUGAAAGCUUUUUCUUUAUUACCUGCAGAGGAGAAGAAAGUAAAGAGCACUAAAGUGGAAGCAAAACUUAAAAAGGAAGUGAAGGAUGGAAAAGGAGAAACAAAGGCGGCCGAGAAAGUCAAGCAGGCAGAGAUUAAACCAACAGAAACUGGGCUAAUAAAGGCCAAAACGAAAGUUAAGGAGGAGAAAGCUCUUCAGACUGUAACUAAAUCGGACAAGAAAGAUCAAUAUGCGUUCUGUCGCUAUGUGAUUGACAUGUUUGCGCAAGGGGAUUUUUAUCCAGGUUCAGAAAGAGCUGGGAAGUCCUAAGGAUGUAGCUGAGACACAAAGACUCUCACAAAGAGAAGAAGGACACAGAUUUUUGUGGAGGGAAAAUGAAAAUCUUGGGAUUCUGUACGGAAAGGGUUUGUGAAGCCUGUUCUCAAAGAGUGACAUGGAAAGGUAGGGGGUUCCAUUACAAGGGAACAAAAUAUUGUACCCCCUCUAUGACUUUUAAAGACAGCUGGUUAUAAAUGGAGGAACUGUUUUAGGCUCAUAGG
RNAcentral lists this long non-coding RNA (587 nucleotides) under Manacus vitellinus (golden-collared manakin). RNAcentral describes it as "lncRNA (ENSMVIG00005017812.1)". Lineage: Eukaryota; Metazoa; Chordata; Aves; Passeriformes; Pipridae. The record is from RNAcentral.